GGGGCUGACCGGUUUCGACGUCGGGACCAGGAGGCCGCGGAGUGCGACCGGAGUUGCUCAGACUCCCUAAACGGGGCAACCAAAGAGACGCCGAUGACGACGCUCUCGUUCUCGUCGCCUGAUCUGAACUGAUCUAGCUACGAGAAUCAUCGCGACCAGCAAUGGCACGCGGGGCCAGACCGCUGCAGCCUGGCACCAGAAGCAGCGGUGGACGGCAGGGAAAGACCCGCUGACGGCAGGCAAAGACCGCUGGCACCGGAGGAAGAUCCGGCGGCCGGAUCCUCGGAUCCCCACGACCCGGCGUGGCGGCAGCCGCAAGCCGCAAGCUCGGGAAUGGUCGUAGCGAGCCCGGCAACCGCCUGACGGACGGGAGUUCGAUUCUCCCCAGCUCCACCA
RNAcentral lists this transfer-messenger RNA (396 nucleotides) under Acidimicrobiales. RNAcentral's name for it is "VYCW01 sp009843735 Standard tmRNA". It matches the Rfam family "transfer-messenger RNA". From Rfam's summary of the family: Bacterial tmRNA, also known as 10Sa RNA or SsrA, is named for its dual tRNA and mRNA-like properties. Its role is to liberate the mRNA from a stalled ribosome. The record is from RNAcentral. Lineage: Bacteria; Bacillati; Actinomycetota; Acidimicrobiia. RNAcentral also lists the same sequence under 1 other name.